This 222-nucleotide long non-coding RNA is filed under the name Malus domestica (apple). RNAcentral's name for it is "long non-coding RNA (MDOM_LNC003249)". The record is from RNAcentral. Lineage: Eukaryota; Viridiplantae; Streptophyta; Magnoliopsida; Rosales; Rosaceae.
GAAGGUUGUACUUGCUAUCGAAUUGUUACAUUCGUCGAUCUUUGUCUCUUCUGCUUUGAACCUCUUCACGUAAUUGUGGAGCGACUCCUUUGGGUUUUUCUUCACAAUGAACAAGUGGUCGGAUUUUUUCUUGAUCGAGCGGUGUGAUGAGUAUUCUUUGGUAAAAACCAAGGAAAGAUCAUCAAACCUCUGAAUGGAUCAUGGUGGCAAAGUGUGAAACCA